ACAUCUGACUCCCUGGCAUGAUCAUCACACUCACGGUCAGAACGGCAGCACACACUCUGGCACUGAUGCCGGGAACUGUGAGUCACUGCUCCGGGUUCUUCCUGGUGUGGAAGUGAGUCUCCGAAGAGGGAGAAAGAGCAGUCUGUCAGAUACUUCAUGCACUAUAUCCCAUGGAAUUAUUUAAGAUGAGUAAAACUCUUUUGAGAAAUUAUUUUCUUUGUUCAAAGACUCAUACGUGGAUCCUUCCUGAAAAAUAUGUGAUUAGUCUUUUUAUCUAAAAGACCAUGGAAUUCUUCAUUUUCUCAGUUUUUUUUUUCCUACCUCCUCUUUCUUCAUCCGUUAUUUUCAACGAUAAAAAUGUAAACUUUGUUACAAGGUCAUUUGGAACUGGGAGCUUUUAGAAAAACAUUGAAUGAAAUAAAACAUAGUCAGUGACUAUAUGACUUUA
Molecule: small RNA, 448 nt
Filed under: Rattus norvegicus (Norway rat)
Lineage: Eukaryota; Metazoa; Chordata; Mammalia; Rodentia; Muridae
Description: uncharacterized LOC102548289
Source: RNAcentral